GAUGUCAGGCUUCCAAGAAAAGCCCGAACCACGUUAAUUCAAAUUGGCCCGUACCCUAAACCGACACAGGUGGGAAGGUAGAGUAUACCCAGGGGCGCGAGAUAACUCUCUCUAAGGAACUCGGCAAAAUGGCCCCGUAACUUCGGGAGAAGGGGUGCCACCGAGAGGUGGUCGCAGUGAAGAGUCCCAGGCGACUGUUUACCAAAAACACAGGUCUCCGCUAAGUCGCAAGACGAUGUAUGGGGGCUGACGCCUGCCCAGUGCCGGAAGGUUAAGGAAGUUGGUCAGGGAGCAAUCCUGAAGCUAGCGACUGAAGCCCCGGUGAACGGCGGCCGUAACUAUAACGGUCCUAAGGUAGCGAAAUUCCUUGUCGGGUAAGUUCCGACCCGCACGAAAGGCGUAACGAUCUGGGAGCUGUCUCGGAGAGAGGCUCGGCGAAAUAGGAAUGUCUGUGAAGAUACGGACUACCUGCACCCGGACAGAAAGACCCUAUGAAGCUUUACUGUAGCUUGGUAUUGGGUUCGGGCUUUGAUUGCGCAGGAUAGGUGGGAGACUAUGAGAUAGCUCUUGUGGGAGUUAUGGAGUCACUGGUGAGAUACCACUCUAUCAAGGCUAGAAUUCUAACUUUGACCCGUUAUCCGGGCAGAGAACAGUAUCAGGUGGGCAGUUUGACUGGGGCGGUCGCCUCCUAAAUGGUAACGGAGGCGCGCAAAGGUUCCCUCAGGCUGGUUGGAAAUCAGCCAUUGAGUGUAAAGGCAUAAGGGAGCUUGACUGCGAGACUGACAAGUCGAGCAGGUACGAAAGUAGGCCUUAGUGAUCCGACGGUUCCGCGUGGAAGGGCCGUCGCUCAACGGAUAAAAGUUACUCUAGGAUAACAGGCUGAUCUCCCCCAAGAGUUCACAUCGACGGGGAGGUUUGGCACCUCGAUGUCGGCUCAUCGCAACCUGGGGCUGUAGUCGGUCCCAAGGGUUGGGCUGUUCGCCCAUUAAAGCGGUACGUGAGCUGGGUUCAGAACGUCGUGAGACAGUUCGGUCCAUAUCCGGUGCAGGCGUAGGAACAUUGAGAGGAGUCUUCCUUAGUACGAGAGGACCGGGAAGAACGCACCGCUGGUGUACCUGUUAUCGUGCCAACGGUAAACGCAGGGUAGCCAAGUGCGGAGAGGAUAACCGCUGAAAGCAUCUAAGUGGGAAGCCCACCUCAAGAUGAGUGUUCCCAUGGCAAAAGCCAGUAAGGUCACGGGUAGACCACCCGUUAAUAGGCGCUAGAUGGAAGUCCAGCAAUGGAUGUAGUCGAGGCGUACUAACAGACCGAGGGCUUGAC
RNAcentral lists this ribosomal RNA (1320 nucleotides) under metagenome. RNAcentral describes it as "bacterial LSU rRNA". It matches the Rfam family "Bacterial large subunit ribosomal RNA", at positions 1596 to 2925 of the family's 2925-position model. The record is from RNAcentral.